CCAGGAUGGACAUACCGAUGGUGUAUCAGUUGUCACACCAGUGGCACGGCUGAGUAGCUAAGUAUGGAAGGGAUAAACGCUGAAAGCAUCUAAGUGUGAAGCCCACCCUAAGAUAAGAUAUCUCAUACCGUCAAGGUAGUAAGAUUCCACGUAGACUAUGUGGUUGAUAGGUUGGAGGUGGAAGUGUAGUGAUACAUGCAGCUGACCAAUACUAAUAAAUCGAGGGCUUAACCAC
This 235-nucleotide ribosomal RNA is filed under the name Clostridia bacterium. Its description in RNAcentral is "partial 23S ribosomal RNA". It matches the Rfam family "Bacterial large subunit ribosomal RNA", at positions 2692 to 2925 of the family's 2925-position model. Lineage: Bacteria; Bacillati; Bacillota; Clostridia. The record is from RNAcentral.